UAGAGGGGUGCACAGGGAGUGGCACGGCAAAGGGAAUUGCCCCUCAGGAGCAGAGGGUUAUGUCAGAGGGGAGGCACGAACCAGGUCGCAUAGCACUUUCUAGGACGUAAUGAGUGUGGAUUCUAUGUUGCCAUGGGAAGCCAGCAUCCUUGCACGAGGUGGUUAAGUGCUGAGAGAAGAUAAAUCAGAUUAAGGGGCUAGAGACAGACUGGAAGCCUGGGGAAGCUAUUUGAAACAAAUGGGCAGAGGAGCUCUCUCUGAGGAAGUGACUUUAGGGCUGAGUCUUGAAAUAUCUGAAGUAGCGACCAUGCAGAUUUCUGGGAUAAGCCAGUUCCAGGCAGAAAAAAUAGCACUGAAGUGGGAAUAAGCAUCACAUAUCCUGGAAAGAGCAAGAAGGUCAGCGUGGCCAGGGCACAAUACCAGAGGAAGCAGGGGGAGGAGGCCAGCCCUGUGGAGGCCGUGGGACGGUACUUGGCUUUUAUUCUAAAUACACUGGGAAGAUUUUCGAGGACUCUUGCUUGUUUUUCGAGGGAACUGGCUGAAAACCCAGUAGAUUUUGGUGGCUGUUCUUGACUAAGAAGAGUGUGGAACAAAGUCACAGAGCCACGGCCCCAGACAAGACCUGGAUGAAGCGCUACAGCCUGGUAGUGCCAAGACUGGGAGGGAAAGAGAAGAGCGCUAUGAGACAGAAUCCAGAAGCAAGGAGAGGAAGGAAAGGCCUUGGACCCCCUAAGGAGAAGGAGG
Molecule: long non-coding RNA, 744 nt
Filed under: Pan troglodytes (chimpanzee)
Lineage: Eukaryota; Metazoa; Chordata; Mammalia; Primates; Hominidae
Description: long non-coding RNA NONPTRT013564
Source: RNAcentral